AGAGUUUGAUCAUGGCUCAGAUUGAACGCUGGCGGAAUGCUUUACACAUGCAAGUCGAACGGCAGCACGGACUUCGGUCUGGUGGCGAGUGGCGAACGGGUGAGUAAUACAUCGGAACGUGCCCAGUCGUGGGGGAUAACGUAGCGAAAGCUACGCUAAUACCGCAUACGAUCUACGGAUGAAAGCGGGGGAUCGCAAGACCUCGCGCGAUUGGAGCGGCCGAUGGCAGAUUAGGUAGUUGGUGGGGUAAAGGCUCACCAAGCCGACGAUCUAUAGCUGGUCUGAGAGGAUGAUCAGCCACACUGGGACUGAGACACGGCCCAGACUCCUACGGGAGGCAGCAGUGGGGAAUUUUGGACAAUGGGCGCAAGCCUGAUCCAGCCAUUCCGCGUGCAGGACGAAGGCCUUCGGGUUGUAAACUGCUUUUGUACAGAACGAAAAGCUCUGGGUUAAUACCUCGGGGUCAUGACGGUACUGUAAGAAUAAGCACCGGCUAACUACGUGCCAGCAGCCGCGGUAAU
Molecule: ribosomal RNA, 521 nt
Filed under: uncultured bacterium
Lineage: Bacteria
Description: bacterial SSU rRNA
Rfam family: Bacterial small subunit ribosomal RNA
Source: RNAcentral